RNAcentral lists this ribosomal RNA (383 nucleotides) under Shewanella sp. CR-III-E21. RNAcentral's name for it is "bacterial SSU rRNA". It matches the Rfam family "Bacterial small subunit ribosomal RNA", at positions 231 to 606 of the family's 1533-position model. Lineage: Bacteria; Pseudomonadati; Pseudomonadota; Gammaproteobacteria; Alteromonadales; Shewanellaceae. The record is from RNAcentral.
CUAGGUGGGAUUAGCUUGUUGGUGAGGUAAGAGCUCACCAAGGCGACGAUCCCUAGCUGUUCUGAGAGGAUGAUCAGCCACACUGGGACUGAGACACGGCCCAGACUCCUACGGGAGGCAGCAGUGGGGAAUAUUGCACAAUGGGCGAAAGCCUGAUGCAGCCAUGCCGCGUGUGUGAAGAAGGCCUUCGGGUUGUAAAGCACUUUCAGCGAGGAGGAAAGGUUAACGGUUAAUACCCGUUAGCUGUGACGUUACUCGCAGAAGAAGCACCGGCUAACUUCGUGCCAGCAGCCGCGGUAAUACGAGGGGUGCAAGCGUUAAUCGGAAUUACUGGGCGUAAAGCGUACGCAGGCGGUUUGUUAAGCGAGAUGUGAAAGCCCCGG